RNAcentral lists this long non-coding RNA (2665 nucleotides) under Hordeum vulgare. RNAcentral describes it as "long non-coding RNA (HVUL_LNC018795)". The record is from RNAcentral. Lineage: Eukaryota; Viridiplantae; Streptophyta; Magnoliopsida; Poales; Poaceae.
GAUGUGGUUUUAGUUAAAUAUUUAUUAGGUAAUGGAGUACAUCAGUCGAGUGAUAUUUUUCUUCAAUAUGUGGUGUUAGUUUGUAGAGGAUUGAGCUACUUUUUUGUUGACAACUUUGUUGAGGAAGUACUCGUGAAAGAUAGUGAAUGGUUUCCUGGAUCUCCCGAGGCUAUAUAACAUUACUAUAUUUUUUGUCUGCUGCCAUGGAAGCAGGGAUAAAGGUGUGGUAUUUGUGGUCUUGCCUUGAUUACAAGGUGUUCAAGAUUGAGGGAGAAGGUCUUGAUGCAUGGUCGUGUGACUUAGUGCCUGCUCACACGUGGGAGGUCAUAAGGAUGUGGGAAAUGUCAUUAUAUUUAGUUCAGAUGCCAAGGGAGAAGUCACUGGUCAUUGGUAAGUACCAGUAACUAUCAUAAAAUCUACAUUCUUGUACCCUAGGAAUGUGAAUACCUUCUUGUAAUGCUCUUUAUUUUAAUUUUACUUUGUAAAAGGCCAAUCAUUGCUUAUUGUAUUUGUAAUUCUUGGUAUGGUUAUCUAGCCCAUGAUGAUGUGCAUGAGUUACCGCACAAACAUAUUGGACAAGGAGGGAUUGUGGACCGUCUAUGGAGGUGUGCUUCCUAUUUUAAUUAAGUAUCACAAAUCAUUUUGACUGAAGAGGGUAUUUAGUUAGUGAUUCACAAAUCAUGUGUAUCCGUAUUAUAGUGCCAUUAAGUACAAUCAACAUUUUCAGAUCUGCGUCCUUUUCUCUUGUUGUUCUAUCUGGACUCCGCUGUGCUUAUACAUCAUAGAUUCUGAGCCUAAAUCAAUAAUCUGGUAAUAUUAUAUAAACUGUAUGUUGUGUGUUCUAGUACAUGUAUGCCUAUAAGACUGGUUAAUCUAUUUUCAGAUGAUAUGAUUACUUCAAGUAGCUUACUCUUGAGUUACGGAAGAUACUGGGAUCGAAGUUUGUCACUUAUACAUAAUUGUGACUAUAAGCAUCUAGACACCACAUUGUAGGUUGUUUGUACUGCGUACGUAGUUUUCAUCAAUUAUGUAUAAGAAAUCGUUUGUAUGAAUUAUUCUGCUCAUGUCAUGCCAUGCAAGGAUAUUGUGUUUUAUUUUCAAUUAACUGAAGAAAUUUUAAAAUAACCUUUCUGUGGUCAAUCUCAUUGCAGCCAAACCAAUAACCAAAAAUGCAAUCUUGUUUUGCGAAUGUAGUAUAAAGCCCUGAUAUUGCCUUGUUUGGGUUUAGUUGAUCUUUUGUCCUAUGUUUGCUCCAUAGGAGGAUAACCCUCUGUGAAGUGUGGUUCUUAGUUGGUAACUAGUCUAUGCAUAUCUGUUUGUAGUACAUCUUCUAAUUUUUAGAUCAACUCACAUAUCUGUUUGCGCUACAACGUAUAAGUAGUUUUCCUUGUGUCGAAAUUUGCCAAACCUUUUCUUGAAAUUUGCCAAGCAUGCAUGAUAUUUUAUUAGUUUUCUAUGCAGGAGCGAUAUAUGUAAUUUUCUUUCCAAUGUCGCCAUGAUUUUUUGAUACACAAGUAUCUUCUUUUAGAGAUGGGCUCUCACUAAUGCUAACAUCAAUAUGCAUGCCCUGCAAGAAAAGUGGAUCGUCGUAACUGUUUAAGCGGAGUACUCCGAUACAUAGCCUCGCUCCCACGACCCAGGUAACGAUCUCCGCACAAGAAAUUAUUUAACACAAUAUUUCUAGAAGAUAUUCUCAUGUAAUUUGCUAUUGGCACUUACAGUGCAUUUGGUUUUAUAGUGGGUGAUAAUUGAACUUAAACAACAAUAUCUGGUUUCAUAAUGCAUAUAUAUCUGGUCUUUCCUACUAACUAUAUGCUAACAAAACUGUAGCUCUCCAUUUUCUUUUUGCCAAAGCUUGAAUGAUUCUUUUUCAGUAUUUGUUGCAACCAUAUCGUUCCUGCAGUUAGUUAACUGAUUUCGGCUAGAAAACAAAAUGCCCUUGUGCUACUAACUAUAUGCCUUUGCAAUUGCUUUGUUUUCAUCAAGUGCACUUCCUGCUACUAACUGGUACAUGUAUAUUUGCCAGUGCAUAUCUGAUUGUUUCCUGAUUGAGGAAUUUGAAAUGCAAAUCUCUCAAGUUACAAUAAAAACCUGACUUUGGUUGAUGUUCUUAUAAGGAUUGAUAUCUUUUGUAACCAAACUGUCUGCAUUACGUUUUCAAUUUUUAGAUCUUUGGAAUCAAGGGCAACUCAGAAGUUUGAACAAAUUUCCAUUUCUAAGACUACUCAAACAUAUGAGUUCUUUUGCAGGGACAUAUGGCAGAAAGUAGGAAGCCCACAAGUUGAUCUAAGAUGUUUCGGUGAUCGCUUUUGUUCAUAACAUGGUCGACAAUUUUGUUCAUAUGGAAGUUGAUGCUCACUUGGUGAUCCAAGACUGGUCGAUUCCUUAUUAUUUUGUAGUAGUCAAGUGAUCGAACAAUUGUUCUCUUAGGUGCUUGACCAUCAUAUUUUGCAACAAGACAUGUCAUGUAGUUUGACCUUUGUAUUUUCUCAGUGCUUGUAGCUAACUUGAGUUAUGACAACUAAUGAAUCUUCUAUAUGUGUUGAAUAAAUGUAUCGAUCAAUGGCAUUGUUGUGAUGAAUACACUACUGCAAUUGUUUGUAUAUGUAUUGUGUAUUGAACAUGAGUUGAAUAUUAUGAAUGUAAUUUCAUUCAAACUAUGAUG